GCCUGGGUGGCUCAGUUGGUUAAGCAUCUGACUUUGGCUCAGGUCAUGAUCUCACAGUUUGUGGGUUCGAACCCCAUGUCGGGCU
Molecule: transfer RNA, 85 nt
Filed under: Felis catus (domestic cat)
Lineage: Eukaryota; Metazoa; Chordata; Mammalia; Carnivora; Felidae
Rfam family: tRNA
About the family: Transfer RNA (tRNA) molecules are approximately 80 nucleotides in length.
Source: Rfam by way of RNAcentral